CCUACGGGAGGCAGCAGUGAGGAAUAUUGGUCAAUGGACGGAAGUCUGAACCAGCCAUGCCGCGUGCAGGAAGACGGCUCUAUGAGUUGUAAACUGCUUUUGUACAAGGGUAAACCUGAAUACGUGUAUUCAGCUGAAAGUACUGUACGAAUCAGGAUCGGCUAACUACGUGCCAGCAGCCGCGGUAAUACGGAGGAACCAAGCGUUAUCCGGAUUUAUUGGGUUUAAAGGGUGCGUAGGCGGAUUGACAGGUUAGAGGUGAAAUGUUCGGGCUUAACUCGGGAACUGCCUCUAAUACUGGUGAGCUAGAGAGUAGGUGCGGUAGGCGGAAUGUAUGGUGUAGCGGUGAAAUGCUUAGAGAUCAUACAGAACACCGAUUGCGAAGGCAGCUUACCAAUCUAUAUCUGACGUUGAGGCACGAAAGCGUGGGGAGCAAACAGGAUUAGAUACCCGUGUAGUC
RNAcentral lists this ribosomal RNA (460 nucleotides) under uncultured bacterium. RNAcentral's name for it is "partial 16S ribosomal RNA". It matches the Rfam family "Bacterial small subunit ribosomal RNA", at positions 338 to 795 of the family's 1533-position model. The record is from RNAcentral.